Molecule: ribosomal RNA, 110 nt
Filed under: uncultured bacterium
Lineage: Bacteria
Description: partial 16S ribosomal RNA
Rfam family: Bacterial small subunit ribosomal RNA
Source: RNAcentral
UUGCGGUGAAUACGUUCCCGGGUCUUGUACACACCGCCCGUCAAACCAUGAAAGUGAUCAACACCCGAAGUCCGAUUCGUCGGCCUAAGGUGGGGGGCAUGAUUGGGGUU